GAACGGGCCAACGAGUUACGUUAAGUAGCAAGGUUAAGCACUUAAGGUGCGGAGCCGUAGCGAAAGCGAGUUUUAACUGAGCGUUCAGUUACUUGACGUAGACCCGAAACCGGGCGACCUACCCAUGAGCAGGAUGAAGCGAAAGUAAAAUUUCGUGGAGGUCCGAACCCACGAGCGUUGAAAAGCUCGGGGAUGACUUGUGGGUAGCGGUGAAAUUCCAAUCGAGCCCGGAGAUAGCUGGUUCUCCCCGAAAUAGCUUUAGGGCUAGCCUCAAGGUGAGAGAUACGGAGGUAGAGCACUGAAUGUCCUAGGGGGUAUUGCACCUACCGAAGACUAUCAAACUCCGAAUGCCGUCAUCUUAUACUUGGGAGUCAGACUGUGGGUGAUAAGAUUCAUAGUCGAAAGGGCAACAGCCCAGAUCGUCAGCUAAGGUCCCUAAAUGUAAGUUAAGUGGUAAAGGAUGUGGGAUUGCACAGACAACCAGGAUGUUGGCUUAGAAGCAGCCACUCAUUCAAAGAGUGCGUAAUAGCUCACUGGUCGAGUGAUCCUGCGCCGAAGAUUUCCGGGGCUAAAACUUACUACCGAAGCUACGGCAUCAGUAAUGAUGGGUAGGGGAGCUUCCCAUACGGGUUGAAGCA
This 638-nucleotide ribosomal RNA is filed under the name Clostridioides difficile. Its description in RNAcentral is "bacterial LSU rRNA". It matches the Rfam family "Bacterial large subunit ribosomal RNA", at positions 613 to 1257 of the family's 2925-position model. The record is from RNAcentral. Lineage: Bacteria; Bacillati; Bacillota; Clostridia; Peptostreptococcales; Peptostreptococcaceae.